GAUGAACGCUGGCGGCGUGCUUAACACAUGCAAGUCGAACGGAAAGGCUCCUGCUUGCAGGGGUACUCGAGUGGCGAACGGGUGAGUAACACGUGGGUGAUCUGCCCUGCACUUCGGGAUAAGCCUGGGAAACUGGGGCUAAUACCGGAUAGGACGAUGGUUUGGAUGCCAUUGUGGAAAGUUUUUUCGGUGUGGGAUGGGCUCGCGGCGUAUCAGCUUGUUGGUGGGGUAUUGGCCUACGAAGGCGUCGACGGGUAGCCGGCCUGAGAGGGUGUACAGCCACCUUAGGACUGAGAGACGGCCCAGACUCCUACGGGCGGCAACAGUGGGGAAUAUGGCACAGUGGGCGCAAGCCUGCUGCAGAGGCGCUGCGUGGGGGAUGACGGCCUUCGGGUUGUAAACGCCAUUCGGUAGGGACGAAGCGCAAGUGACGGUACCUGGAGAAGAAGCACCGGCUAACUACGUG
RNAcentral lists this ribosomal RNA (466 nucleotides) under uncultured bacterium. RNAcentral's name for it is "partial 16S ribosomal RNA". It matches the Rfam family "Bacterial small subunit ribosomal RNA", at positions 28 to 507 of the family's 1533-position model. The record is from RNAcentral.